Molecule: long non-coding RNA, 525 nt
Filed under: Nicotiana benthamiana
Lineage: Eukaryota; Viridiplantae; Streptophyta; Magnoliopsida; Solanales; Solanaceae
Description: long non-coding RNA (NBEN_LNC032682)
Source: RNAcentral
AAUCUUGUGGAAAAUUACUUGUUCAUAGGUAUACUGGAGAUCGUAGCGGCACGGGUAGUUUGACUAAGCAUAUAAAAUUACACCCUAGAGAUAAGGUUAGAUAUUUGCAAAUGAAAGCGCAACAAGAGGGGAGGACAAGUGUUGAUUCUCAAGUUAACCCAAGUACUGGUUAAAAUCUAGUUCAACUAGGAAUAAACACUGUCACCGGAGUUUGACUAAGCAUAUAAAAUUACACCCUAGAGAUAAGGCUAGAUAUUUGCAAAUGAAAGGGAAACAAGAGGGGAGGACAAGUGUUGAUUCUCAAGUUAUCCCAAGUACUGGUUCAAAUCUAGUUCAACCAGGAAUAAACACUGUCACCGGAUGUAUUUUAUAUUACGAUCCAAAUAAGGAUCGUGAAGAAUUAGCGAAAAUAAUUACUGUUAUGUGCUUGCCUUAUAGUUUUGCUUCUAAUCCUAAUUGGAUUCAAUAUAUUAGAAAAGUAUUUAAUCCUACUUAUAAAGGUUGGCCUCGCGCAACAGUUAAGGC